Molecule: ribosomal RNA, 794 nt
Filed under: uncultured marine bacterium
Lineage: Bacteria
Description: bacterial SSU rRNA
Rfam family: Bacterial small subunit ribosomal RNA
Source: RNAcentral
CAAUACUUAGUGGCAGACGGGUGAGUAACAUGUGGGUAUCUACCCUUUGGCCUGGAAUAACACGAGGAAACUUGUGCUAAUACCGGAUAAGUCUUUACAGAGAAAGCUUUAUGCACCAUUGGAUGAGCCUGCACUAGAUUAGUUUGUUGGUGGGGUAAUGGCCUACCAAGACUGUGAUCUAUAGCUGAUUUGAGAGGAUGAUCAGCCACAUUGGGACUGAGACACGGCCCAAACUCCUACGGGAGGCAGCAGUGGGGAAUCUUGCACAAUGGAGGAAACUCUGAUGCAGCGAUGCCGCGUGAGUGAAGAAGGCCCUUGGGUUGUAAAGCUCUUUCGUCGGGGAAGAAAAUGACUGUACCCGAAUAAGAAGGUCCGGCUAACUUCGUGCCAGCAGCCGCAGUAAUACGAAGGGACCUAGCGUAGUUCGGAAUUACUGGGCUUAAAGAGUUCGUAGGUGGUUGAAAAAGUUGGUGGUGAAAUCCCAGAGCUUAACUCUGGAACUGCCAUCAAAACUUUUCAGCUAGAGCAUGAUAGAGGAAAGCAGAAUUUCUAGUGUAGAGGUGAAAUUCGUAGAUAUUAGAAAGAAUACCAAUUGCGAAGGCAGCUUUCUGGAUCAUUACUGACACUGAGGAACGAAAGCAUGGGUAGCGAAGAGGAUUAGAUACCCUCGUAGUCCAUGCCGUAAACGAUGUGUGUUAGACGUUGGAAAUUUAUUUUCAGUGUCGCAGCGAAAGCGAUAAACACACCGCCUGGGGAGUACGACCGCAAGGUUAAAACUCAAAUGAAUUGACGGG